GAGUUUGAUCCUGGCUCAGAACGAACGCUGGCGGCAGGCCUAAUACAUGCAAGUCGAGCGCGCCCUUCGGGGUGAGCGGCGGACGGGUGAGUAACGCGUGGGAAUAUGCCCUUCUCUAAGGAAUAGCCUCUGGAAACGGAGAGUAAUACCUUAUACGCCCUUCGGGGGAAAGAUUUAUCGGAGAAGGAUUAGCCCGCGUUAGAUUAGGUAGUUGGUGGGGUAAUGGCCUACCAAGCCUACGAUCUAUAGCUGGUUUGAGAGGAUGAUCAGCCACACUGGGACUGAGACACGGCCCAGACUCCUACGGGAGGCAGCAGUAGGGAAUCUUAGACAAUGGGGGCAACCCUGAUCUAGCCAUGCCGCGUGUGUGAUGAAGGCCCUAGGGUCGUAAAGCACUUUCGCCAGAGAUGAUAAUGACAGUAUCUGGUAAAGAAACCCCGGCUAACUCCGUGCCAGCAGCCGCGGUAAUAAGGGCGA
RNAcentral lists this ribosomal RNA (477 nucleotides) under uncultured Alphaproteobacteria bacterium. Its description in RNAcentral is "bacterial SSU rRNA". It matches the Rfam family "Bacterial small subunit ribosomal RNA", at positions 9 to 532 of the family's 1533-position model. The record is from RNAcentral. Lineage: Bacteria; Pseudomonadati; Pseudomonadota; Alphaproteobacteria.